This 68-nucleotide transfer RNA is filed under the name Marmota monax (woodchuck). RNAcentral describes it as "tRNA.Ala". The record is from RNAcentral. Lineage: Eukaryota; Metazoa; Chordata; Mammalia; Rodentia; Sciuridae.
GUCGUGGCUCAAUGGUAGAGUGCUUGCCUAGCAUGCAUGAGGCACUGGAUUCAAUCCCCAACAUCACA